This is a non-coding RNA of Capsicum annuum, 62 nucleotides long. NCBI's taxonomy places the organism in Eukaryota, Viridiplantae, Streptophyta, Magnoliopsida, Solanales, Solanaceae. The record is from Rfam.
GGCUUACACUUGAUCGUUGAACUUCAGGUUAGUUAUGUUGAAAAUUUCAUGUUACUGAUGCU